This is a non-coding RNA of Equus caballus (horse), 2766 nucleotides long. NCBI's taxonomy places the organism in Eukaryota, Metazoa, Chordata, Mammalia, Perissodactyla, Equidae. The record is from RefSeq and is a predicted model, not a curated record.
ACAGAGAUGCCCGUCAGCCUCCCAGGGAGGGGCUUCCCACCUUAUGCCUUCUCCCCAGGGCUCUGCCUCUGUGGAGUGGCCACCAGCUCCCCUGAGUGAUGCUCCUCCCUGAGGGGCGGGAACAAGCCUGCCUGAGCCCCACCAUGUGAGUGCCCUGUGCUGGUGUCUCUCACAGGCAGUGUCUCCUGAGCAACGCUCCUCCCUGAGGGGCGGGAACAAGCCUGCCUGAGCCCCACCCUAUGAGUGCCCUGUGCUGGUCUCUCUCACAGGCAGUGUCUCCGGGAGCUAGUGCUGGACAGUCUCCCCGUGCCCCUCCGAGUCCACUGUCACCUGUCUCCCUGCUUUAGGCCCAGGAAGCCACUUACAAGGGCCACAUCAGCGGGCCCCCUUGCUGACUGGCUCCCCGUUGGACUAGCCUGUGGUGAGCCCCCGCAGGGCAUCAGAGGAGGCAAGAGAGAGAGGCCAUGGUCUGGGGAUAUCUGUGCCCCGAGUGCCUGGGGCUCCCGUCCUGGGAGGUCACCUCAGGCUGGCUGUGAGCUCGACCAGAGGUCACUGCUCCUCUCGAGGGGGCCUAUGCCACAUGGCUCUGUCCUUUGGUUCUGGGAACUGCUCCUCCCACUGUGCCUCUGCGGAUCAGGUGGUAAGGACUCGGUGUUCCUACUGCAUUCCUGCACCCGCACCGCCUCAUGUGUUCCUGAUGCCCCUCAGUCCUCUGUAAACCUGCCUUUGUGGUCUCUAAAGCUGCUUGACUCAUCUGGAGUGAGCCACGUGUUUCCAGGGACCCCGACUGUGACAAGCCCUCGGGAGUAUUCUGUUAGACACAUAUUACUCUGCUCCUUGUUAACCCUGGGAAUUGGGCCCAGAGAGGGGAAAUGACCUGCCCACGGUCAGGGCUGCACCGGGGAGUUUGGAACCCCGGAGCCCCACCCUGCCCCACACAGCUGCCACUUUAGGAAGCGAACGGAGGCCAGGAGGUCAGGAAUGACUGAGCAUGGGGAAGGCCAGACACCCUUCCCUUGGUCAGAGAUGAAUGUCAGUGUCUGGCUGGUCUUGGGCCUCGGGACAGGACGUGAGAAAGGCAGUGGGUUUAGGUGUGGGGAGAGCUCUCUCCUGCCCAGCCAGCUCAGGGUAAUGGCUGUUGGCCUGGUGCCCGCCAGGUCCCUCUUGGGGAAGGACCCAUCCAAGGGAGCUGGGACCAGGGCCAGCCUCCCAAGAUCUGGGCUGGAACUCCUCAAGAGUGACCAUUCGGGGGGUAGGCGGAGCCUCUGAGCCCCCGAAAGUCCCAUUUGCAGGGGCAAUGAGGCCUGUGAGAAGCUGGCCUGCGAGCACCCUGCUGCCAGCGGAUCCCUCUGCAGCCUGAAUGUGUGCACUGAAGUGGGCACUCAUGUGCUUGUGGACGAACAGACAAACAAAUGCUGCAGCUCAAACCUCCCUUUCUAAACCCUUCAUUCCAUCCUUCCUUUAAGAGGCUGGGCUGCUGUAACUGUUCCUGCCCAGAAUGUGCUCCCAUCCCCAGCUCUGCCAACUGCUAACAUACCUUCCUUUCAGGAAGUUCUCUCCCAUUGUGAAUCACAGCCUCCCCAUCCCCUUAAAGGUGGUCACCUGACCCAGACCUGGCCAAUCAGAGUGCUCCAUCCUCCUGACCACACGAUUGGUCAACAGGUAUGUAUCUAAACCAGCCAAUCAGAUUCUUCCCAGGCCUUUCCGCUGGAGCUACCAGGGAAGACUUUAUUUGGGGUUCCCAGCUGGCAAGAAAUGAGCCUGGUGACAGCUGUUGUCACUGGGUGGAGGGUGAGGCCAUGCAGGGACAGGAGAGCCCCAGUUCCGUCCUGGGGCCUGGCUCCUGCAGCUCUUCCCCCCACCACCAGGGCACUCCCUGAAAAUUGACAUGGGCCAGGCCAGCGUCACGUGCUGAGGAUUCAAAGAUGACUCAGACACUGAGAGCAAACCAGCAGGAGGAUGAGAAAGGCACCUGCACCAUGGAUAUGCGUCGGGGGGUGACUUCCAGCUGGGGGGUGUUGAUGGAAGGAUCUGGAAGGAUAAACCGUACAGGUUUCUUGUGAAGAUUUAAAGUCAUUAAAAUUAAAAAUCUGUGUUAAAAGACACCAUAAGAAGAUGAAACCAAAAGCUACCGACCAGGAGCAGGUGUCCACAAGCAUAUGACCAACAAAGUGUGAGUAUUUAGAAUAUAUAAAGAAUUCCUACAUAUUCAUAAAGAAAAGGAAAGGAGCAAAGGCUAUGAAUGGGGAGCUUACAGAAGAGAACUGAAGUGGCCAAAAAAACGAAGGAAAAGGUGCUCCGGUGUAUUAGUGAUGGGGAAAUGCAAAUGAAAUCCACAAGGGGGGGCUGUUUCCCACUCAGCGGGUUGGCACUUUGAUUCUGGCAGUACCAAGGUGGGAAGAAUCAGUUGGGAUGCUCACCUACUGUUGAUGAAAAUGUAAAUUUGUGCAGCCAUGGGGAGAGCAAUUUGGGGUAUCUAGGAAAUUGAAGUUGCAAAUGCCUGGUGACCCAGCAAUUCCUGAAGUUCCACUCCUGGGCUUUGCCUUAGAGAAACUCUUCAUCUCGUGCCCAAGAACCUCUCUUCAUAAAUGCAGCAUUGCCUGUAAUACCGGAAAACUGUCAACAACUCAAAUGUCAAUCAUGAGGAAAAUGGAGAAACAAACUAGUAAACGCUAGAAUGCCCCUCAUCAGUAAAAAGCAAUGAACUUGAGGAACGGUAUCGGUGUAAGGGAAGCAAAGCUGUGUGAAUAAAGUUGCAGAAACGUG